GGACUACUGGGGUAUCUAAUCCCAUUCGCUACCCACGCUUUCGUGUUUCAACGUCAGGAAUGCGCCAGUGAAUUGCCUUCGCUUUUGGUGUUCCCCAUAAUAUCAACGGAUUUCACCCCUACACUAUGAGUUCCAUUCACCUCUCGCACCCUCUAGUUGUACCGUUUCUUUUGCACCUUCCCGGUUAAGCCGGGAGCUUUAACAAAAGACUAAUACAACCGCCUACACACCCUUUACGCCCAAUAAUUCCGGAUAACGCUCGGGGCACUCGUAUUACCGCGGCUGCUGGCAC
This 292-nucleotide ribosomal RNA is filed under the name uncultured bacterium. RNAcentral describes it as "partial 16S ribosomal RNA". The record is from RNAcentral.